RNAcentral lists this non-coding RNA (45 nucleotides) under Schistosoma margrebowiei. The record is from RNAcentral. Lineage: Eukaryota; Metazoa; Platyhelminthes; Trematoda; Strigeidida; Schistosomatidae.
AUCCAGCUGAUGUGUUCCAAAUAGGACGAAACGCUCGUCCUGGAU